GAUGAACGCUGGCGGCGUGCCUAAUACAUGCAAGUAGAACGCUGAAGGAAGGAGCUUGCUCUUUCCGGAUGAGUUGCGCACGGGUGAGUAACGCGUAGGUAACCUGCCUGGUAGCGGGGGAUAACUAUUGGAAACGAUAGCUAAUACCGCAUAACAGUAUAUUUUGCAUGAUAUCUACUUAAAAGGUGCAAUUGCACCACUACCAGAUGGACCUGCGUUGUAUUAGCUAGGUGGUGAGGUAACGGCCCACCAAGGGGAGGAUACAUUGCCGAACUGAGAGGGUGGGCGGCCAAACUGGGACGGAGACAAGGCCCAGACUCCUACGGGAGGGAGCCGGAGGGAAUCUUCGGGAAUGGACGGAAGUCUGACCGAGCAAGGCCGCGUGAGGGAAGAAGGUUUUCGGGUCGUAAAGAUCUGUUGUAAGGGAAGAAAGAGUGUGAGAGUGGAAAGUUCACACUGUGACGGUAUCUUACCAGAAAGGGACGGCUAACUACGUG
Molecule: ribosomal RNA, 497 nt
Filed under: uncultured bacterium
Lineage: Bacteria
Description: partial 16S ribosomal RNA
Rfam family: Bacterial small subunit ribosomal RNA
Source: RNAcentral